GAUGCUGGGUCCCAGACAGACUGCGGGCAGCAGUGGAGCCAGUCAGAAGGGGUGCAGUGUCAGGGAAGGCUCCCCAAAGGAGGUCGCACACUGCCAGCCUCAAGGGGAGGAUGGGGCAGCAGGAGCACUGGCUCCAAACUUCAUUUAUUGAGCACUGAGCAUGACUCUGAGAGGUUGGGGACCGUGGACGCUGAGAGGUGCGGGGCAGCGAACACUUCCUGCAGGAAGCCUGUCCUGAUGCCCUCUCCUAUCUGGGCUGGAGGUCCCUCGGGUGCUCCCACUACUCUGCCACAUCACAGCUGAGCAUGGUCUGCUCCGUGCAAGUGCUCCAGCCGACGCAGCCUGAGGGUCCCCAGAAUCCCAACCAAUGCCCUACCUGGGUGUCAUCUCACUUGGCUUUCUUCGCUUGGAGGAGCAGCUGGUCAUCUCUGUGCCUGAUUCCACAGCUGUUAAGCUGAAGAGCUGGUUGUACCUUUCCAAGAUCCAUCUCUGUCUAAUUGACCAAUGAGCUUAAAGAAGACAUGUCCAAAAGCCUCCAAAGAGAUACAGAUUAAAACAACAAUGAAAUAAAAAGUGGUAAUAAUCAGUGUUGGCAUGCACAA
This is a long non-coding RNA of Cavia porcellus (domestic guinea pig), 602 nucleotides long. RefSeq lists it as uncharacterized. NCBI's taxonomy places the organism in Eukaryota, Metazoa, Chordata, Mammalia, Rodentia, Caviidae. The record is from RefSeq and is a predicted model, not a curated record. The transcript is spliced from 2 exons.